CUGGCUCAGAUUGAACGCUGGCGGCAUGCCUUACACAUGCAAGUCGAACGGCAGCGCGGGGCAACCUGGCGGCGAGUGGCGAACGGGUGAGUAAUAUAUCGGAACGUACCCUGGAGUGGGGGAUAACGUAGCGAAAGUUACGCUAAUACCGCAUACGAUCUAAGGAUGAAAGUGGGG
This 177-nucleotide ribosomal RNA is filed under the name Zoogloea ramigera. RNAcentral's name for it is "partial 16S ribosomal RNA". It matches the Rfam family "Bacterial small subunit ribosomal RNA", at positions 19 to 211 of the family's 1533-position model. Lineage: Bacteria; Pseudomonadati; Pseudomonadota; Betaproteobacteria; Rhodocyclales; Zoogloeaceae. The record is from RNAcentral.